UACGGGAGGCAGCAGUGGGGAAUAUUGCACAAUGGGCGCAAGCCUGAUGCAGCCAUGCCGCGUGUAUGAAAAAGGCCUUCGGGUUGUAAAGUACUUUCAGUCGUGAGGAAGGUGUUAAGGUUAAUAACCUUAGCAAUUGACGUUAGCGACAGAAGAAGCACCGGCUAACUCCGUGCCAGCAGCCGCGGUAAUACGGAGGGUGCGAGCGUUAAUCGGAAUUACUGGGCGUAAAGGGCACGCAGGCGGUUAAUUAAGUUGGAUGUGAAUCCCCGGGCUUAACCUGGGAAUGGCAUUCAAGACUGGUUAGCUAGAGUCUUGUAGAGGGGGUAGAAUUCCAUGUGUAGCGGUGAAAUGCGUAGAGAUGUGGAGGAAUACCGGUGGCGAAGGCGGCCCCUGGACAAAGACUGACGCUCAUGUGCGAAAGCGUGGGGAGCAAACAGGGAUUAGAUACCCGU
RNAcentral lists this ribosomal RNA (455 nucleotides) under uncultured bacterium. RNAcentral's name for it is "bacterial SSU rRNA". It matches the Rfam family "Bacterial small subunit ribosomal RNA", at positions 340 to 789 of the family's 1533-position model. The record is from RNAcentral.